This 476-nucleotide ribosomal RNA is filed under the name uncultured bacterium. Its description in RNAcentral is "partial 16S ribosomal RNA". It matches the Rfam family "Bacterial small subunit ribosomal RNA", at positions 28 to 523 of the family's 1533-position model. The record is from RNAcentral.
GAUAAACGCUGGCGGCGUGCAUGAGACAUGCAAGUCGAACGGACGACUCGACUUCGGUUGAGUCGUUAGUGGCGGACGGCUGAGUAACGCGUAGGUGACCUGCCCCGAAGUGGGGAAUAACUGCCCGAAAGGGUGGCUAAUACCGCAUGUGGUGAUGCGUUCGAUCGCAUCAGUAAAGCCGCAAGGCGCUUCGGGAGGGGCCUGCGUCCGAUUAGCUCGUUGGCGAGGUAAUGGCUCACCAAGGCUACGAUCUAUAGCUGGUCUGAGAGGAUGAUCAGCCACACUGGGACUGAGACACGGCCCAGACUCCUACGGGAGGCAGCAGUAAGGAAUAUUGGACAAUGGAGGAAACUCUGAUCCAGCCAUGCCGCGUGAGUGAUGAAGGCCUUCGGGUUGUAAAGCUCUUUCAGAUGUGAAGAUGAUGACGGUAGCAUCAGAAGAAGCUCCGGCUAAAUUCGUGCCAGCCGCCGCCGUAA